RNAcentral lists this ribosomal RNA (672 nucleotides) under uncultured bacterium. Its description in RNAcentral is "bacterial SSU rRNA". It matches the Rfam family "Bacterial small subunit ribosomal RNA", at positions 199 to 874 of the family's 1533-position model. The record is from RNAcentral.
GACCAAAGCUCAGGCGUCGUGGGACGGGCUGUCGUGGUAUUAGCUUGUUGGCGGGGUAACGGCCCACCAAGGCUAUGAUGCCUACCGGGCGUGCGAGCGUGGCCCGGCACACUGGGACUGAGACACUGCCCAGACUCCUACGGGAGGCUGCAGUCGAGAAUCUUCGGCAAUGGGCGCAAGCCUGACCGAGCGACGCCGCGUGGAGGACGAAGGCCUUCGGGUUGUAAACUCCUGUCGAGGGGGAAGAAGGGCUCUUAAAAGCCUUGACUGAUCCCUGGAGGAAGCACGGGCUAAGUUCGUGCCAGCAGCCGCGGUAAGACGAACCGUGCGAACGUUAUUCGGAAUCACUGGGCUUAAAGCGCGUGUAGGUGGAUGGGAACGUCGGUCGUUGAAAUCCCCCGGCUUAACCGGGGAAGUGGCGCCGAUACGCCCCGUCUUGAGGAACGUAGGGGGAGCUGGAACUUCCGGUGGAGCGGUGGAAUGCGUUGAGAUCGGAAGGAACGCCCGUGGCGAAAGUGAGCUCCCUGGACGUUUUUCUGACACUGAGACGCGAAAGCCAGGGGAGCGAACGGGAUUAGAUACCCCGGUAGUCCUGGCCGUAAACGAUGGGCACUGGGUAGGGGGCUCGCCGAUGGGCUCCCUGCCGUAGGGGAACCGUGAAGUGCCCCGCCU